UAGGGAAUCUUCCACAAUGGGCGAAAGCCUGACGGAGCAACGCCGCGUGUGUGAUGAAGGGUUUCGGCUCGUAAACACUGUUGUAAGAGAAGAAUGACAUUGAGAGUAACUGUUCAAUGUGUGACGGUAUCUUACCAGAAAGGAACGGCUAAAUACGUGCCAG
RNAcentral lists this ribosomal RNA (163 nucleotides) under uncultured bacterium. Its description in RNAcentral is "partial 16S rRNA". It matches the Rfam family "Bacterial small subunit ribosomal RNA", at positions 355 to 511 of the family's 1533-position model. The record is from RNAcentral.